RNAcentral lists this long non-coding RNA (6565 nucleotides) under Malus domestica (apple). RNAcentral describes it as "long non-coding RNA (MDOM_LNC007610)". The record is from RNAcentral. Lineage: Eukaryota; Viridiplantae; Streptophyta; Magnoliopsida; Rosales; Rosaceae.
AUGCUUCACCGCCCAACAUUCUAUGCCAUACAGCAUUGCCGGCUUUAUUGUCGUCCUAUAAAAUUUUCCCUUGAGCUUCAGUGGCCUACGACGGUCACACAACACGCCGGAUGCACUCUUCCACUUCAUCCAUCCAGCUUGUAUUCUAUGGGUGAGAUCUCCAUCAAAUUCUCCGUUCUUUUGCAAGAUAGAUCCUAGGUAGCGAAAACGGUCGCUCUUUGGUAUUUCCUGAUCUCCGAUCCUCACCCCUAACUCAUUUUGGCCUCUAUUUGCACUGAACUUGCACUCCAUAUAUUCUGUCUUUGAUCGGCUUAGGCGAGGACCUUUAGAUUCCAACACUUCUCUCCAAAGGUUAAGCUUCGCGUUUACCCCUUCCUGCGUUUCAUCUAUCAACACUAUAUCGUUUGCGAAAAGCAUACACCAAAGAAUAUCAUCUUAAAUAUUAAGUUUGUGAUCUUCGCUAGAUUGCUCCGGUCAUUAGUGUGGAUAAGUAUGUAAAUGGAUAGAGACAAGAAGCAAACACAAGAUGUACGUGGUUCACCCAGAUUGGCUACGUCCACGGAGUAAAGGAGUUCUCAUUAAUUGUGAAGGGUUUACACAGUAUAUAGGUUCAAGCUCUCCUUUAGUGAGUACAAGUGAAUGAUUUAGUACAAAUGACAUUAGGAAAUAUUGUGGAAGAAUGAUCUCGUAAUCACGAAACUUUUAAGUACCGAAGUGUGGUAUCGUCUUCACUUGCCUUAUCUGUCUCAUAGGUAGAUGUGACAUCUUCUUUGGAAGUACUCUUCCUCCCUCCAGGGGUGGUAUCUUUAACUGGUGGAGAUGCACAAGGUAAUGUAUCAAUUUCACUUGACGCUUACUUGUAGUUUCAUGCUUGGUCAAGCGCGAUACAAACCAUGUAGUAGGAGUCCCCCAAGUCGCCGAGCUAGGGGAUCUGCUGAAAGAGGUGACAGACAAGGUAAGUAAUCAGAGCUCCAAGCAAUCAGUCCCAGAUCAGAAGUUUGAUUUCGAGUUCCGGCUGAUUGUUAUCCUUCUCCUUAUCUUGCAGGUAGCAUGAAGGAUAAAGAGAAGAAAAGGAGAAAAGGUGAUAUAAGAUACUUUUGCUUUUGAAGAAGUAACUUUCCACAGGCUUAUUCUUGAACUGGGCUGGAGGGUUUUCUUGUUUCCGCCAGAGUAUAAGGCUGACUGAAGAAUUUGAGGGUCAAAACAAGUCAAUCAAAUCUAGAGUACGUUCGACCCUGCUGAUAUGGGAUACUUUUGCUGUUGACAAAGUAGUGGAUGUAUCGGCAUGUGUUCUGUUGCGCUUGUCUCCACAUGCUUCAUUGUAUCCUUCUCACUUGCCCUAUUUGUUCCUCAGGCAGAUGUGGUAUCUUCUUGGGAAACAUAAGAUGUUGAAGAUGAGUACUCGAGAGCAAUGGGGUUUCAGGCAGUCAGUUCCGGACUGGAAGCUUGAUUCCAAGUGCUGACUGAUUGCUCUCUUUCUCCUUGUCUUGCAGGUAAGAACAAAGCCAAAGGAAAAGACAGGGAAAAAGCAUGAUAUGGGAUACUUUUGCUUUUAACCCUGAUGAUAUGAGAUAUUCUUGCUCUAGUGUAGCUUGUUUGCAGAGGUAUUCUCGGGGGGAAAGAAAGCUGAGUAUUUUGAGAGGCUUCGUUGGGAGUGCCCUCUCAGAUAUGAGGAAGGGUUGAGCAUUUUUGCAGGUCUGCCUGUUCGUUGAGAAUGGAGGUCGACAUAUAUAGGAGUCUCCCUAACAAGGAGUAAUACUAUUCUUUUACCCUGCUUGGUCAUAGCAUGGUAGUGGGAGCUGCCAGCUUCACGUGUUUUAACUCUAUCAGAGCACUUUGAAAAAGUGGUCUGUGGUAUCUGGAAAGUUGAUGUUACGUGUGAAGAUUACAGACAAGCUUUAUCCAAGGAGAUCUGGCUCUCGAAGUUGAGAAAGCGGUGUGAGGAUUAUAGACAAGCUUUAUCUAAGGGGCUCUCGAAGUUGAGGAAGCGGUGCCUCUUCGGUUUUCGAACAAGCAAUCCUGUCGGGGAUCUGUCUCUCGAGAUUCGGAAAACGGUGCCUCUUCGAUUUUUAAGAAAGCAAUCCUGCUAGGAGUCUAGCUCUCGAGAUUCGGAGAGCGGUGUCUCGUCGCUUUUUGAGAAAGUAAUCAUGUUGGGAGUCUGGCUCUCGAGAUUCGGAGGACGGUGCCUCUUCGAUCUUGAAGCAAGCAAUCUUGUUGGGAGUGUUUUCUCGAAUGUGAGUAAAGGUUAGGCCUGUUUGCUAGUCUUCCUUGCCACGGAGCACAGAGGUUGACCCACAGGGACUUUCCAAUUAUCCAGCAAUGGUCAUGUUCCUUUACCCUUGUGGGUCAUAAUAUGGUAGCUAGACCUUCAAAAUUUAUGUGUCUAAACUUUGUUAGUGCUGUUUCUUUGCUAUUCUUUUACCCUUCUUGGUCAUAGCGAUAUAAUGGGAGCUGCAAGCUUCACGUGUUUAAACUUUGUCAGAGAUUUUUGGCAAAGUUAUCUGUGUGUACCCGUGAGCUGAUGUUGCAUGUGGAAAGUGAAUGAUUGAACAGUAACAUUCACGUGCUUUCUACUUCACUAGAAAUCUUCGACAGAAUGCCCGUAAUUUCCGCAAAGUUGAGUGUGCAUGUGACAGGUGCUGACAAGGCUGAAAAAGCAGGUGCCUCUUCGAUUUCUGAGAUCGGCCCUUGUGGUCUCUGAGCAGCCUAACUUUUGAGAAAGCAAGCGCUUCUUCGAUUUCUGCGAUUGACCUUCGUGGUCUUUGAGCAGCCCAGCUUUUGAGAAAGCAAACGCCUCUUCGAUUCCUGAGAUCGACCCUCGUGGUCUCUGAGCAGCCCAGCUUUUGAGAAAGCAAACGCCUUUUCGAUUUCUGAGCAGGCGCCUCUUCGAUUUCUGAAGCUCCAUCGAGUGCGGAUUUUUAUAGAGGCUGUAUUAAGUUCCAAAGCACACUUGAAUCUCCACCAGUAGAAGCUCCCUUCUUGCAUUUCUAAGAUCUUGAUUUGUCCGACCUCUUUUCUCUUCAACACCUUUGAAAAUGUCUGGCCCCUCCGACCGUCGUUUUGACUUGAACCUUGUUGAAGAGGCAGCCACGCCUUCUCCAGACAACAUAUGGCGCCCAUCCUUCUUAUCCCCUAUUGGUCCUCUUACCGUUGGGGAUUCCGUGAUGAAGAAUGAUAUGACCGCUGCGGUGGUGGCCAGGAACCUUCUCACUCCCAAAGAUAACAUACUACUUUCCAAACGGUCUGAUGAGUUGGCUGUUAAGGAUUCUCUGGCUCUCAAUGUUCAGUGUGCAGGUUCUGUGUCUAAUAUGGCCCAACGCCUAUUUGCUCGAACCCGCCAAGUUGAAUCAUUGGCGGCUGAAGUGAUGAGUCUCAAACAGGAGAUUAGAGGGCUCAAGCAUGAGAAUAAACAGUUGCACCGGCUCGCUCAUGACUAUGCUACAAACAUGAAGAGGAAGCUUGACUAGAUGAAGGAAUCUGAUGGUCAGAUUUUACAUGAUCAUCAGAUGUUUGUGGGUUUGUUCCAAAGGCAUUUAUUGCCUUCGUCUUCUGGGGCUGUACCGCGUAAUGAAGCUCCAAAUGAUCAACCUCUGAUGCCUCAUCCUUCUAGGGUGUUGUCCAGUACUGAGGCUCCGAAUGAUCCCCCUCCGGUGCCUUCUCUUUCUGGAGUUCUGCCGACUGCUGAGACUUCUCCUAAGCAACCUUUGUGAAGGCUUCCUCUUGUUUGUUUAUUUUGACUCGUGUAUAUGUACAUAUUUGUAACUUCUUAGAGAUAUCAAUAAAUAAGCUUUGUUUCAUUUCAACGUAUUGUGUUAAAUACACCAAAGCCUUCUUCACUAAGUUCUUUGAAUUUUUCUUUUGUUGAAGCUUGUAUGUUGAAGCUUUGUGAGUGGAGCAUGUAGGUUGAGGUAGUGUUCCUUUAAUUUCCCGAGUGGGGAAAACUUCUCGAUUGGAGACUUGAAAAAUCCAAGUCACUGAGUCGGGUCGGCUAUAUGAAUCUUAGAACGCCAUUGUGCUCGAUCCUGUGUCAUGUCCUCCGUUAGAUCCAAGUACUCUAAGUCUUUUCUUAGAGUCUCUUCCAAAGUUUUCCUAGGUCUUCCUCUACCCCUUCGGCCCUGAACCUCUGUCCCGUAGUCGCAUCUUCUAACCGGAGCGUCAGUAGGCCUUCUUUGUGUUGGAAAUGUGCCCUAAAGCCAAUCAUAUGAUGAUACUUUACGGACAUUUCACAUGUUAAACUAAUCUAGUUUAAUAUAAAGGGCAAAGAUUAUUGUUUGAGCCGUCUCAUAUAAAUGUUAUAUGCUUAAACGAUAAAGUCCAAGGAAUAUGUGAUUGGGAGAAUGCAAUCUAAUGAAGUUAGAUUCAUGAGACCAUUCUUUCGUAGACACAUCCUAAAUGUUCCUGAUCAUAGGAUUGUUAAUUGGGCAUUGACAGUCCGUUAAGAUCGGUACGUACUGUGUCUUCUCUCAGGGAGAGUGACUAGUCUCGAGUCAUUGGUGUGUGUGACAUCAAGUCAAGUACGUAGGUGCUCAAUAGAGAAUGAGUUCACUGAACACGAUCAACGAAGAGUUCUCAUAUUCAUGUCACAUGAGAACUCAUGGUUGGGAUAAUGCAAAGUAGUCCUUUGACCUGAGGCAUCAUCGUUGUCUUGUGGUUAAGUCCUUGAUCUUUGAUUAUGUCAAACGUCAUUCCAUUGGAGUGUCCACGGCAUCGUUGGGGUUAAGCCACUUAGCCAUGGAGGCAAGUGAAUGCGCAACAAGGGAUCUCUAACCUUCAAACCGUUUGAGGGAGAAUACUCUAUGAUAUGAUCAGAAUCUCUGGCCAGAGUAUGAAUGAGAUUUAGGAAUGCGUUCCAAAUCACAUUCAAGGUAAUCAUAUAAGCACACGAAUCACAUUGGAUAGUAGACAUGAAUAAAUAAACUAUCAAACCAAACAAUGUGGUCAAGAGUAUUGUAUUAGAGAAAGACCGUAUUGCAUUUGUAAUCCUAAACUGAAUAGGUUCUCCACCUCUUCUGAUUAGCUUGGGUAACCAUGAUAUGCUGCUAGGUGUCACUCAUGGUUUGUGGAAGCCCUAAACGUGUAUAAUCACUAAAGGGAGAAUUGAAAGUAAGUUUCAAUUCACAAUCGAUGUAAAAUGGUUUUAAUCGCCCACUGCCUCGCUAAAAGGAACCUAAUGGAUCGCACACCGUGUAAGGUGGAGAUUGAAGAAACAAUGGAGAUGAGUAAGAAUGAUUAAAUGGUUUAAUUAUUUAUUUAUGGCAAGGAUUAAUUAAUAUGUUAAUUAAUCAAACGAAUAAGUUCGUUAAAGACCUCGGGAUAGUUUUGGACGUUUAGGCCCAAUGGGCUUCGAACGUCAAGCCCAUUGACUUAAGUUGUAUGACAACUUAAUUCACAAAAGCCCAAAAGCCCAAACAACACCCUAUGGCCGGCCAUUUAGAGGAAGGGUAGUGAACUUGCUUUAAUUACAAGUUUGCCACUCAAAUGAACAAAGGUAUAAAUAUGACUUUAUAGCCUUUUGUUCAUUAGGGUUUGUUUUGGAGAAAAUUGGAGAGAACAUGUCUCUCCAUUUCUCUAAAGAGGCCGGCCCCCUUGGAGGGUGCAUCUAGCAAUCCCACUACUCCAAGGUCACUCAUUUCUUCUCCAAUCUAACCUUGGUGAAGAGACUUAGAGGUUCUCUAUUUUGGGAACUUGGAGAAUCCUAUUCUUCCAUCCAAAUCCAUAGAUUUAAUAUGCAAGGAAUGAAGGCCCUCUCUUUGGGUGAUUAGCCUUUGCUUAUGCAAAGAGGAAUCUACAAAGGUAUAUUUCUCAACUCACUUUGAUUUGAGUUGAGUCUUGGUUCACCAAUCUACUAGGCUUUGAAUUUCAUGGUUAAUGUUUUGUUUUUAAGUGCAUGCAAACAUGAUUCCGCCUUUAAUUGUUAAUUGCAUGCUUAUUGAUGUUGCUUAAAUGAACAUGUUUUCACAAAAUAUUCCUUCACUUUGCACAUUUCCAAACCACCGUAACCGAUUUUCUCUCAGUUUUCCUUCAAUUUCGGCUACUCCUACUUUACCUCAGAUAUCCUCAUUCCUAAUCUUAUCCUUUCUCGUGUGCCCACACAUCCAACGAAGCAUCCUCAUCUCCGCUACACCCAUUUUGUGUACGUGUUGGUGCUUCACCGCCUAACAUUCUGUGCCAUACAGCAUCGCCGGCCUUAUUGCCGUCCUAUAAAAUUUUCCCUUAAGCUUCAAUGGCAUACGACGAUCACACAACACGCCGGAUGCACUCUUCCACUUCAUCCAUCCAGCUUGUAUUCUAUGGUUGAGAUCUCCAUCUAAUUCUCCGUUCUUUUGCAAGAUAGAUCCUAGGUAGCGAAAACGGUCGCUCUUUGGUAUUUCCUGAUCUCCGAUCCUCAUCCCUAACUCAUUUUGGCCUCCAUUUGCACUGAACUUGCACUCCAUAUAUUCUGUCUUUGAUCGGCUUAGGCGAAGACCUUUAGAUUCCAACACUUCUCUCCAAAGGUUAAGCUUCGCAUUUACCCCUUCCUGAGUUUCAUCUAUCAACACAAUAUCGUCUGCGAAAAGCAUACACC